CUCACAUUCUGGGAGCUCCUGCUACCAACUCAGUAUCCUUUUGGUUUCCCUAGUGCAGUCCAGAAACCAGAGAGAGGCUUCCCUUGGUGUUGAGUCUGUUAAACGGGAUUGUUGCAGGCAUGGGUGCUUCAGGGUUCCAAUCUUGUCCUAGGAACCUCAGUGGCUUGGCCCAUUUCUCUGCCCUAGACCUAUCUCGUUGUAACUCUCACCAUGAAAGGAGGAGGAUGACUCCUCCCUGGGCUUGCCUGCUGUGCACACCACCCGGCCAAGCACCUUACUUGUGUGCCCAUGCCAUGUCCCCAGCGCCUGGCACUGGACUCACAUUCCCUCCACCCCCCAUCUGACAGAUGGGGGAAUGAGUCCAGAAGGCUCCCCAGACCAUUCCCGGAGAGGCCCAGCCCAGAAUCCAACCCUUUUCCAAGCCAGGCUGUGACCUGAGGCUGGUGGUGUGUGUGGGGCUGCGCCUCAGUGUUGGGGACAACAGAGAUUUCCAGGACCAGAUAGCUGAGGCCCCUUAAAGCCUCCUGGCGCCUAUCUGCAGAGUGGCCCUGUAGGGUUUGGGUCC
RNAcentral lists this long non-coding RNA (565 nucleotides) under Marmota monax (woodchuck). Lineage: Eukaryota; Metazoa; Chordata; Mammalia; Rodentia; Sciuridae. The record is from RNAcentral.